GACGAACGCUGGCGGCGUGCUUAACACAUGCAAGUCGAACGAGGUCCAUGCAGUGGCAACACUGCGGAAGACCUAGUGGCGAACGGGUGAGUAACACGUGAGAAACCUGUCCCGGUCUCUGGGAUAACAGUCGGAAACAACUGCUAAUACCGGAUGACGUCGGAGCAUCGCAUGGUGCGCUGACGAAAGGGUUACUGGAUCGGGAGGGUCUCGCGGCCUAUCAGCUUGUUGGUGGGGUAACGGCCUACCAAGGCAUCGACGGGUAGCUGGUCUGAGAGGAUGAUCAGCCACACUGGGACUGAGACACGGCCCAGACUCCUACGGGAGGCAGCAGUGGGGAAUCUUGCGCAAUGGGCGAAAGCCUGACGCAGCAACGCCGCGUGCGGGAUGAAGGCCUUCGGGUUGUAAACCGCUUUCAGAGGGAACGAAACUGACGGUACUUUCAGAAGAAGGUGCGGCCAACUACGUGCCAGCCGCCGCGGUAA
This 485-nucleotide ribosomal RNA is filed under the name uncultured bacterium. RNAcentral's name for it is "partial 16S ribosomal RNA". It matches the Rfam family "Bacterial small subunit ribosomal RNA", at positions 28 to 523 of the family's 1533-position model. The record is from RNAcentral.